UUUUUAUAGAAAUUAAAUUUAAAUUAUUUUAUAAAUAAUUUUUUUUUUUAUGUUUAUUUAACUUUUAUUAAUUAAUAUUAUAUUAAUUUUUUUUGUUUUAGUAAUAAUUUAAAUAAAUUUUUUUUAAUUUAAUUUUAGUAAUGAAAAUGAAUAUUUUUAAAAUUUAUUAAGUAAAUUUAAUUUAUUGUACCUUUUGUAUCAGGGUUGAUUAAUAAAAAUAUUUUUAUUAUAAAAUAAAUCUCGAAUUUAAAAGAUCUAAUUAAAAAUUUUAGUUAUUGUUGAAUUAAUAUUAUAAAUUUUAAAUUAGUAGUGAUAUGUUAUUCGUUUUUAAAUAUAUCUAGUUUUUUAAGAAUUGAAUUUAAAUUCAGCUUUAAAAUUAUUAUUUGAUUUAAUUUUUUAAUUAAUUAUAUUUUUAAUGUAAAUAUAUUAAGGAUAAACUUAGUAUAUUUUUUAUAAUUUUUAAUAAAAAUUUCUUUAUAAGUAUUUAUAAAAUUUAAUAUCUUUUUAAAAAAUUUUAUAAUUUAUAUGUUUAUAGAUAUAUAAUUUUAAAAUUAUUAUUUAAUUUUAUUUAUUAAAAAAAAAUAUUUAAUGUUUAUUUGUUUGUUAAAAUGAUUAAAUUAGUAAAAAUUAUUUGUUGAAAUGAUAAAUUUAAAUUAAUUUAUUUUAAGGAAUUAGACAAAAAAAUUUAUAUUGAAUUGUGUAUUUACCUGUUUAUCAAAAACAUGUCUUAUUGAUUUAAUAAUAAGUCUAUUCUGCCCAUUGAAUUAAAAUUUUAAAAGGCUGCAGUAUAUUGACUGUACAAAGGUAGCAAAAUAAUUAGUUUUUUAAUUGAAAACUUGAAUGAAAGAAUGAAUAAAAUAUAUAUUGUCUCAAAAUAAAUAUAUUUAAUUUAAAUAAAAAGUAAAAAUGCUUUUAUUUUUUUAUUAGACGAGAAGACCCUAAGAAUUUAAUAAUUAUUAAGGAUAAAUUAUUUUUGAAAUUGAUUUUUAAUUUUUAUAAUUGUUUUACUGGGAGGGUAAUUAAAAAUAUUAAACUUUAAUUUAAAUUGAACUUUGAUUAAUGAUUAUUUGAUAAUUUUUAUAAUUAUAAGAAAUAAUUACCUUAGGGAUAACAGCGUAAUAAUUUUGGAGAGUUCAUAUUGAUAAAAUUGUUUGCGACCUCGAUGUUGAAUUAAAAUAAAAAUUAAAUGGAGAUAUUUAAAUUUUUAGUCUGUUCGACUAUUAAAAUUUUACAUGAUUUGAGUUCAGAUCGGUGUGAGCCAGAUCGGAUUUUAUCUAUAAAUAAUUAUAUAUUUUAUUGUACGAAAGGACUUAAAAUAUAAAAUAAUUUUUAUUUUAUGAUUAUUAUUAAUUUAUUAAUAAAUUAAAAUUAAAUUUUUAAAAUUUAAUGGAUAAAAAAUUUAUG
Molecule: ribosomal RNA, 1404 nt
Filed under: Parapolybia varia
Lineage: Eukaryota; Metazoa; Arthropoda; Insecta; Hymenoptera; Vespidae
Description: 16S ribosomal RNA
Source: RNAcentral